RNAcentral lists this non-coding RNA (144 nucleotides) under Olsenella sp. oral taxon 809 str. F0356. RNAcentral describes it as "FMN riboswitch aptamer (RFN element)". It matches the Rfam family "FMN riboswitch aptamer (RFN element)". Rfam says of the family: The RFN element is a highly conserved domain that is found frequently in the 5'-untranslated regions of prokaryotic mRNAs that encode for flavin mononucleotide (FMN) biosynthesis and transport proteins. This element is a metabolite-dependent riboswitch that directly binds FMN in the absence of proteins. In Bacillus subtilis, the riboswitch most likely controls gene expression by causing premature transcription termination within the 5' untranslated region of the ribDEAHT operon and precluding access to the ribosome-binding site of ypaA mRNA. Lineage: Bacteria; Bacillati; Actinomycetota; Coriobacteriia; Coriobacteriales; Atopobiaceae. RNAcentral also lists the same sequence under 1 other name. The record is from Rfam by way of RNAcentral.
AGACAGUUUCGGGGCGGGGUGAGAUUCCCCACUGGCGGUGAUGGGCGCGAAGUUCGCCCGAGUCCGCGCGCCGCACAGAAAAGAGCGGCUGACCUGGUGAGAUCCCAGGACCAACGGUCAAAGUCCGGAUGAGAGAAACGAGGC